UUAAUAGCAUUGUAAGAGUGAUGACUUUUAUCGGUAUUUAUAUUGGUAGAAAAAAAAAUCCCAAACAUCCAAGGUAUGGGAUAAGCAGGUUAGAGCAGGUAGUAUUUAACACCUUGGUGACAAAGUGCUUCUAAAGUCAUGUCUGUAAAAUCAAAAUUAAUAGAAUGUAUUAUGUGCAUUUUCUGCGUAAUAUGUAGAUUGUGUGAUGAUAGCUAUACCGCCCCAGUCUGAAAGUCUGAUGAUGGUUCUCCCUGAAAGAAAAACUUGGCAAAAAUGUAAAUCUAACAAUAUUACACCAAAUUUAUAGUUUGUAUUUUUUGCAGAUGAACUUUACAAUUGUGACAAUGCAGCAAGGGAGGAGUUGCUUAGAUAAAACCUACAGUGUACAAUGUGUUGCAAGAACAGAGGACUUGACUAGAUAAAACCUACAAAUGACUUGCUGCAACAAUACAGGAUUUAAACAAGCUAAUCAUGUGCUCUAUAUUGAUCAACCCUAGAGAGUUAACCCUUAGAUGAUGGUAUUAGAAAUCUCACUGAAUCCAGUGAGAGAUACAUGUGGCCCAGCAGUAACAGGUUAAUGCAGUGCAUACUGAACAUGAAAAUCAGGUCUGCAGCUCAACCCAUGAGAGUUUAAGGAGAGCAUACUGAACAUGAAAAUCAUUUCUGCAGGUCAACCUAACCCUGGACUAUAUUCUAGAUGGCAUGUGGAUAUAUCCCAUGGUGCGCCAAUCUUGUUUUCCAGAGACAUGUAUAGUCAUGGCAAGCACACUAGGGUGAUAACAUAAACCCCUGGCAGCAUGGCCCAGGCCAUAACCCAGGAGAGGGGGCUUGCGUAUCAAGAAAUCACCCAUCAGCAUUGGGUUAAAGGAAAGCAUACUGAACAGAAAAUCAGGUCUGCAGCUCAACCCAUGAGAGUUUAAGGAGAGCAUACUGAACAUGAAAAUCAUUUCUGCAGGUCAACCUAACCCUGGACUAUAUUCUGGAUGGCAUGUGGAUAUAUGCCAUGGUGUGCCAAUCUUGUUUUCCAGAGAUGUAUAGUCAUGGCAAGCACACUAGGGUGACAACAGAAACCCCCGGCAGUAGGGCCCAUCAUGGGAGCACUGAGCCACGCAUCCGUGAGGGAAGGACACAUGGUCAUACACACAGACUCCAAAGGAGCUGUCGACUGUCUUCAGCAGCGCUCACCCACUGACAAUAUCUACCUUUUGACU
Penaeus monodon (black tiger shrimp) is the source of this 1211-nucleotide long non-coding RNA. RefSeq lists it as uncharacterized. NCBI's taxonomy places the organism in Eukaryota, Metazoa, Arthropoda, Malacostraca, Decapoda, Penaeidae. The transcript has 8 exons. The record is from RefSeq and is a predicted model, not a curated record.